This 106-nucleotide transfer RNA is filed under the name Aspergillus coremiiformis. It matches the Rfam family "tRNA". Rfam says of the family: Transfer RNA (tRNA) molecules are approximately 80 nucleotides in length. The record is from Rfam by way of RNAcentral. Lineage: Eukaryota; Fungi; Ascomycota; Eurotiomycetes; Eurotiales; Aspergillaceae.
GCUCCUUUGGCCUAGUGGUUAUGGCGUGGCUCUUAUGUGGUUUGCUCCGGGGUUACGGAUUCCGCAUGCCUAGCUGAAGUCCAGGGUUCGACUCCCUGAAGGAGCA